UUUCCGUAGGUGAACCUGCGGAAGGAUCAUUAAAAGAUUUAGCAUCUUCUUCUGACUAUACUUCAUUAACCCCUUCCGAGUACCUUACCCGUUGCCUCCGCGAGGCUGUCCUCACGGCCCUUUGAAGAUUUAUCUUUGGAGAGUCCUUGCGGGAGGUAUACAAUAAACUCUUGCAUUACCAUGUCAUCUGUCUGAAUCUGUUUAAAACAAAUAUUAAAACUUUCAACAACGGAUCUCUUGGUUCCCGCAUCGAUAAGAACGCAGC
This 265-nucleotide unclassified non-coding RNA is filed under the name plant metagenome. RNAcentral's name for it is "partial contains small subunit ribosomal RNA, internal transcribed spacer 1, and 5.8S ribosomal RNA". The record is from RNAcentral.